GUUGGAAGAUGAUCAAUUCAUGUUGAUAAGAAAAUCCUACUCAAUCCCAACACUAGAAGCUGAUCAUCAGUUAGACCAAAGAACAAAAUGCAAAAAAGAUCCUUCUAGAUUCAUCCUAACAAAGAAAGUCAUUAUAUACAUGAAAUUAUAGGAACAAACAGAGCUUUGAAAACUCAAAUGAUGGAUAAAAUGGAAAAGUGCAAUGGUCGAAGCUCACUCAUUUAAAG
This 227-nucleotide long non-coding RNA is filed under the name Olea europaea (common olive). RNAcentral describes it as "long non-coding RNA (OEUR_LNC013865)". The record is from RNAcentral. Lineage: Eukaryota; Viridiplantae; Streptophyta; Magnoliopsida; Lamiales; Oleaceae.